UUCCUACGGGGGGCAGCAGUAGGGAAUCUUCCACAAUGGACGAAAGUCUGAUGGAGCAACGCCGCGUGAGUGAAGAAGGGUUUCGGCUCGUAAAGCUCUGUUGGUAGUGAAGAAAGAUAGAGGUAGUAACUGGCCUUUAUUUGACGGUAAUUACUUAGAAAGUCACGGCUAACUACGUGCCAGCAGCCGCGGUAAUACGUAGGUGGCAAGCGUUAUCCGGAUUCAUUGGGCGUAAAGCGCGCGCAGGCGGGCC
RNAcentral lists this ribosomal RNA (253 nucleotides) under uncultured bacterium. RNAcentral's name for it is "partial 16S ribosomal RNA". It matches the Rfam family "Bacterial small subunit ribosomal RNA", at positions 336 to 581 of the family's 1533-position model. The record is from RNAcentral.